This 721-nucleotide ribosomal RNA is filed under the name Mesobacillus boroniphilus. RNAcentral's name for it is "bacterial SSU rRNA". It matches the Rfam family "Bacterial small subunit ribosomal RNA", at positions 53 to 757 of the family's 1533-position model. The record is from RNAcentral. Lineage: Bacteria; Bacillati; Bacillota; Bacilli; Caryophanales; Bacillaceae.
ACAUGCAAGUCGAGCGGAUCUUCAUUAGCUUGCUUUUGAAGAUCAGCGGCGGACGGGUGAGUAACACGUGGGCAACCUGCCUGUAAGACUGGGAUAACUUCGGGAAACCGGAGCUAAUACCGGAUAAUCCUUUCCCUCACAUGAGGGAAAGCUGAAAGACGGUUUCGGCUGUCACUUACAGAUGGGCCCGCGGCGCAUUAGCUAGUUGGUGAGGUAACGGCUCACCAAGGCAACGAUGCGUAGCCGACCUGAGAGGGUGAUCGGCCACACUGGGACUGAGACACGGCCCAGACUCCUACGGGAGGCAGCAGUAGGGAAUCUUCCGCAAUGGACGAAAGUCUGACGGAGCAACGCCGCGUGAGCGAUGAAGGCCUUCGGGUCGUAAAGCUCUGUUGUCAGGUAAGAACAAGUACCGGAGUAACUGCCGGUACCUUGACGGUACCUGACCAGAAAGCCACGGCUAACUACGUGCCAGCAGCCGCGGUAAUACGUAGGUGGCAAGCGUUGUCCGGAAUUAUUGGGCGUAAAGCGCGCGCAGGCGGUUCCUUAAGUCUGAUGUGAAAGCCCCCGGCUCAACCGGGGAGGGUCAUUGGAAACUGGGGAACUUGAGUGCAGAAGAGGAGAGCGGAAUUCCACGUGUAGCGGUGAAAUGCGUAGAGAUGUGGAGGAACACCAGUGGCGAAGGCGGCUCUCUGAUCUGUAACUGACGCUGAGGCGCGAA